UGAAAGCCUUACGGAGCAAUUCCGUGUGAGGGAGGAAGGCCUUAGGGUUGUAAACCUUUUUUCUCUGGGAAGAAAACCUGACUGUACCAGUGGAAUAAGCCUCGGCUAACUCCGUGCCAGCAUCCGCGGUAAUACGGAGGAUGCAAGCGUUAUCCGGAAUCAUUGGGCGUAAAGCGUCCGCAGGUGGCUUUACAAGUCUGUUGUUAAAGCCCAGGGCUCAACCUUGGAUCAGCAAUGGAAAAUGGUAGUCUUGAGUGCGGUAGGGGCAGAGGGAAUUCCCAGUGUAGCGGUGAAAUGUGUAGAUAUUGGGAAUAACCCCUGUGGCGAAGGCGCUGUGCUGGACCCCAACUCUCCCUUAUGGCCGAAAGCUAGGGGAGGG
RNAcentral lists this ribosomal RNA (379 nucleotides) under uncultured cyanobacterium. Its description in RNAcentral is "bacterial SSU rRNA". It matches the Rfam family "Bacterial small subunit ribosomal RNA", at positions 376 to 770 of the family's 1533-position model. Lineage: Bacteria; Bacillati; Cyanobacteriota. The record is from RNAcentral.